AAACCCGGAUCCAGCAACGCCGCGUGAGGAUGAAGGCCUUCGGGUCGUAAACCUCUUUAAGGGAGAAGAGAAAGGACGGUAUCCCUGGAAUAAGUCACGGCUAACUACGUGCCAGCAGCCGCGGUAAUACGUAGGUGACGAGCGUUAUCCGGAUUUACUGGGCGUAAAGCGCUUGUAGGUGGCUCUGUAAGUUGGGCGUGAAAACACCGGGCUUAACUCGGUGACGCCGUCCAAUACUGCGGGGCUGGAGGAUGUCAGAGGAAGGUGGAAUUCCUGGUGUAGUGGUGAAAUGCGUAGAUAUCAGGAGGAACACCCGUGGCGAAGGCGGCCUUCUGGGGCAUUCCUGACACUGAGAAGCGAAAGCUAGGGGAGCAAACAGGAUUAGAAACCCUGGUAGUCCUAGCCGUAAACGAUGGAUGCUAGGUGUUGGCGGACUUAACCCUGCCAAUGCCGAAGCUAACGCGUUAAGCAUCCCGCCUGGGAAGUACGAUCGCAAGAUUA
RNAcentral lists this ribosomal RNA (501 nucleotides) under uncultured bacterium. Its description in RNAcentral is "bacterial SSU rRNA". It matches the Rfam family "Bacterial small subunit ribosomal RNA", at positions 378 to 896 of the family's 1533-position model. The record is from RNAcentral.